This 9269-nucleotide long non-coding RNA is filed under the name Nicotiana tabacum (common tobacco). Its description in RNAcentral is "long non-coding RNA (NTAB_LNC007480)". Lineage: Eukaryota; Viridiplantae; Streptophyta; Magnoliopsida; Solanales; Solanaceae. The record is from RNAcentral.
ACCUAACACUCCCAAAAUCCGGAACCGCGUAAAUCACAAGCUAAGAGUUUACAUAAAAAAGCUCUUACUCCAGAAACAUCUAUCAACAAGGAAAAUAUAGAAGGGCUAUACUAGUACUGAGAAUAGAAAGGGAUUCUUUGGUCUGCGGACGCGACAGAUAUACCUCGAAGUCUCUAUGAAAAUGCCUCGCCUCAAGUGUGAUAAGACUGAGUGGAAGUACCUGGAUCUACACAUGAAAAACAUGCACAAAAAAGGGUAUGAGUAUACCACAUUGGUACUCAGUAAGUGUCAAGCCUAACCUCGGUUGGGUAGUGACGAGGAAGGUCAGGGCCCUACUGAGGUUAAAUAAACUACAAGGUAUAACAGUAUAGAAAAAGACAGUAUAAUUAAGUGCAACAGUAAGAAAUAACACAGGAUCGAAAGAACAACAUCAAUUAUAACAGAGACAAGAUAAUCAGGGAAAGGAAUACAUCUCAACAUGAAAAUAACAACUGGGGAUCUCUCGGUAUCCCGAGGAUCUCUUAGUAUCCUCAAUAUGUGCUGGGGAUCUCUCGGUAUCCCGAGAAUCUCAUAUUAUCCUCAAUACAUAUAUGCUGGGGAUCUCUCGGUAUCCCAAGGAUCUCUUAGUAUCCUCAAUAUGUGUUGGGGAUCUCUUGGUAUCCUGCACUACUGUCCAAAUCAAUAUAUAUAUGUGCAGGGGAUCUCUCAGGAUACCGUCUCAUAGUCCCAAAGUAAACACGCAGCAACAACACGAAGAAUAUCGAUUAAAUUAAAUUCCACACCAAGGAAAAAUAGGUAUUUCUAAACUAGCAUGCUUCACAUAGUCCAAAUAAGGCAGUUUGAGCAAAUAAAGCAAUUAACACAAUUAGGCACGAUUCCCUAAGCUAGUAGCAGGCUUGAAUUGCAAGUAGAAUAAACAGAAAAGGAAAACACAACUAAAGUUACUUAAUGAAAAUAGGAUUUUCAACAAUUAGCACAAGUACGCACUCAUCACCUCACGUACAAGGCAUUUCAAUUAUCAACAAUACCAAAUCCUAAGGGGUGUUUCCCCCACACAAGGUUAGAUAAGCCACUUACCUCGAACCGGCUCAAAAUCAACCCGAAAUCACGUUCUUGCCAUGAGUACUCAACUGCAAAUGGCCCAAAUCUAUUCAAAUAAAUUGCAUAAUGUAAAUAACACUUCAAGUAACUUAUUCCACUAAUUAAUUCUAAGCUAACACGCGAAAUUAGGAAAAAAAUAACCAAAAUGUCCUCUGGGCCCACGUCUCGGAAUCGAGUAAAAUUUACAUUUUCAGAAUCCUCAUACUCUCACGAGCCUAACCAUACCAAAAUUAUCCUUGUCCAAUGUCAAAUCCCCAAUCAAAACUCGAAAUUUAGGUCUAAGAACUUUCCCUCAAUUUUCAUCCAAAUUUCGAAAUUAAAUGAUGAAUUCAUGUUUAGAUUAAUAGGUUACAAGUAAAAAGGAGUUAAGAAUCGUUACCUAAUCGAUAUCUCAAAAAAUUCCUCAAAACCUCGCUCAAAUCCGAGCUUUCAAGCUCUAGUUUUCACAAAAAUGGCUAAACCCUCGAUUUUGAACUUAAACAUUCUGCCCAGAUGCGUUCUUCUUCGCGAAUGCGAGGCAACAGUCGCGAGCGUGAUGCACUAAAAUUCCACUGGCCAAUCUUCCUCUUCGCGAACGCGACGCCCGAGCUGCGAAUGCGAUGAUCAUUUUCUCUUCUCCUACGCGAACGCGAGACUGCCUUCGCGACGCGUAGGCAUAAGGUCCCACAGCCUCGCGAACGCGGGAUUACCUUCGCGAAUGCGAAGCAUAAAUCCUCUACCAGCCCCAGUUCCUCUUCGCGAACGCGAGAACCCCACUCGCGAACGCGAAGAAGGAAACCAGAACUGACUGCUGCAACUUUUUCUGCAAUUUUCUAAGUUCCAAAAAUGACUCGUUGAGCAUCCGAAACACACCCGAGGCCCCCGGGACCUCAACCAAACAUGUCAACCAAUCCUCAAACAUCAUUCAAACUUGUUCCAAUCUUUGGAACGCUCAAAACACCAAUUUAACAUCGGAUUCAAGCUUAAGAAUUCUAAAAACUCACAAAUUACGCUUUCGAUCAAAAAGUCUAUCAAAUCUCGUCCGAAUGAUCUGAAAUUUUGCAAGCACGUCACAUUCAACACUACAGAGCUAGUCCAACUUCCGGAAUUCCAUUCCGACCCCGAUAUCAAAAUUUCACUAUCGAACCGGAAACUUUAAAAAUUCAACUUUCAGCAUUUCAAGCCUAAAUAUGUUACGCACCUCCAAAAUACAAUCUGAAUAUGCCCCUAAUCCCGAAAUCAUCCAACGGAGCUAACAGAACCGACGGAAUUCCAUUCCAAGGCCGUCUUCAUACUGCUCCGACUACGGUCCAAAUUCUAAAGCUUAAGCUCUCAUUUAGGGACUAAGUCUCCCAAAACACUCCAAAACUCAAAACCAAACAUCCCGCCGAAUCAAAAUAGAAGAAACAAACUCGGGGAAAACAGUUAGUAGGGGAUCGGGGCGUAAAUUCUAAAAACGAUUGGCCGGGUCGUUACACUUUGUAUAAUUUUGAUAGUCAGGUCCUGUUCUAGCAUAUACACCUAAGAAGAUGCAAAAGUCAAAGAUAUCACAAGUCUUAACUUCAAAUAUUAACACAGCACAUACUGUAGUUAGAGCUGGUUUUCUACACAAUUUGAACUGAACGGGGCUGCUUAAAUUUGCACAGUAUUUUGCACCAAUUCGAGCUGCUGAAAUUUGUAGCUUGGGACCUCAUUUGAGCUGCGAAAUCAGUAGGCAUUGGGCCAAUGUUUGAGAGAAAAUUUCAACACUCUUUUGAAGUCAUUGGUUGUGAGUUUGCUGCAGAAUUCACAUACCUGCAGUUCAAUUUUCCUGCCUAGUUUUAGCUGCUUUGGUGCACCAGUUUGGUUACAAAUUGUGAUUGUGUUUAUUAACACAGCACAUACUGCAGCCUAGUUUUAGCACCAGUUUAGUUACACAAUCAGUUUACUCCACACACUGAUUGUGUUUUGACAACACCACCUGCAGCAGAAUAAGUUGAAAUUUGCACAUUUCCUGAAUCUGCUUGACAGCUGAAAUUUUUGCAGUGUUACAAUUAUUUCUGCACCAGCUUGGGCCAGUUGUGUUUUUAGGAGUCCACUAGUUUUUCUGUCAUGUUUUUAAUCUUUCUCUUCUUGUUUGUUAAGUAACUCUUAACUAGUGUAAACAUUAUAUUAGUUCAUAUUAAGUUUACCUUGUUCUUUGUGUGCUUAAUUUUUUAAAUGAAUGGAAUUGUUGCUUGCGUCUAAUUGAAAAAAUAUGUGUUAGUCUUUCACUUCUUGAGCCAGAAUAACAGCUAUUCUGAUGGACCAAUCUCUCUUUAUAAUGGACAAAACAAUCAGUAGUUUGUGACCAAAUCUAUUUACCUUUUUGUUGUUGGUUUUGCUAUUCUAUAUUGUGUUUGCUUUUCAGAAUCUGAACAAUGUUUGAAUAGUCAUGAAUCAAGAAGGGUGCUCAAGCAAAAAGAAGAAAAUCUCCAACCGCAUUCCAACGGGAUUACUUGCAUCAUUGCGAAAUCAAAGGGUUUCGUUGUUGACAACAAAAAGAACCUUUCAAGCUACAAGGUCAACUGAAAAUGAAGAAUGACAAUCAGAAGUUGGAUUACCUCCAUCUUUGCGAAACCAAAAGGUUUCGUUGUUGACAACAAAAAGAGUCUUGAAUAUAAAGUCAAAUGAAAAUGAAUAACGACAUUCGGAAUUAGGAUCUCAAUUGCAAGAACAAGUGCAGCAAGUGCCACGGAAUUCCACCUCUUCAGCAGCAUAAGGAGUACAUGAACAAGUGCAACAAGCGAAUAUGAAUUCCAUCACUCCUGCAUCACAGGGAGUACAUGAACGAUCUGAUGAUUCUACCAAUCAUGAAGCAAUUGAACAAAUUGAGGAACAAGGCAAAUAUAUAUAAAUUUUAAUCAUAAAAUUAACUAAAAAUAGUGAUUAAUGAUUAUCUUUGCUUUGUACUAUUGCAGGCCCCUCCUCGCCAAAAAGAAAAAGAGGUCGUACUCAAAUGCCAAGUGUUCAUGGUAGAAAGGAGCGUAAAAUAAUCAUUCUAAAUGAGUAUAAUCAACCCGUUGGUCCUACUAAAGAAGUUGUUAAAGAGUUGGGUAGCUUCCUCGGCACAUUGGCAAGGAGUGGGACUUUUUGUCCUCUUAAUGUAUUUAAUUGGAGGAAACUACACACGAAAGAUGAUAUGUGGAAAUAUAUCAAGGUAUGAAGUUCUCAAUGUCCAAUAAAUAUGGAUGGUAUUUCUUAUUUCUUACACUAACCCAAUUGCACUAAAUUUGUAGGAAAAAUAUGACAUUCCUGACGAGGCGAAACAAUGGGUUUUUGAAUCAGUUUGUAGUACUUGGAGAAAGUAUAAGAGUCAAUUGAAGACAAACCACUUCACAGCCUAUGCGCAUGAUGAGCUUCGAAUGGAAAAUAGGACAGUAGAUGUUUCGAAAUCUCACUUUAAGGAUUUUCUUAAAUAUUGGAACUCCGAUCCUCACAAGGUAAUUACAUUCGGAAUACCUUUUGUUCACACUCUGUAAACUAGAGAUAAAAAAGCUCAACUCUCUGCAUUAGUUUAAAGGGCAUGCUUCAUUUAAUACAUUUGGGGGCGGGAGAGUACAGUUAAUGAAAUAUAGGGGGGUUGAAAAUCGACUAUCUUUAUGUUGUUCAAGACAGCUUUACUUUUCCUGAGUAGGCAAAUUGAAUGUAGUGGCUAUGCUUUAAUGUGAUAAUAAGGAACUGAAACUAGUUCAGAUUUAUGGUCCCUUUUUGAAACAAGGGAAAACAAGAGGAAAAGAGUAACGAGGGUUAUGAAUUCAAAAGUAGCUAAGCAAAUGUUGACUCGUUUAUUUGGAGAAAAUGUCCUAAACCAAAUACAGAAAAUCGAAAUAAGUUGAAGUGUCCGCACACUGCUGGCAGAACACCUUUUGCUCUAAUUCGCGAGGUUUGAUGUUUUAUUUUUCUUAUUUAUUUAUUUUUAAAUUAUGAAGUUGCUAACUUUAUAUGGAAAGAUUGUUAUACCUGAUUUCAUGUAGCUAGGAAAAAAAAAAGAAAAUCUCUGAUACUUCAGAUACUCUAUCAAGUAAGGACAUCUUUGUGGCUACAAGAAAAAGAAAACUUAGCCGAGUAUACAAAAGCGCAUACGACAAUACGAUUAGUAAAAUUGUACGAAAUUUCUAAUUUAAAGUUUGUCGUGAUUAUAAAAUUAGAAAUUUCUAAUUUUAGUUACUUAAACUCUAUUCUCUCACAUUUGGUUUGUAGGCUGAAAUGGAGAGAAUACAAUCAACUCGGGAAAGUGAAGAUGGCAGUCAUUCAGUUGACGCUUAUGCAUCAGUCAUGGGACCUGAACAUCCAGGUCGCGUGAGAUUGUAUGGACGAGGGGUUACCAAGACUGUGUUAAAAGGGCAAAAAGGGAAUCUUGGAUCUUCUUUAGAUGCUACUGAUGAGAGGAUGCAACAGAAAAUGGAGGAAAUGGAAGAGAUGUUGCAACAAAGAAUGCAUGAAAAGUUGAACGAACAAAAGGAUGCUAUGGAACAAAAUAUUACAAUGAACGUCAUCGCACGACUUCAGCGUCUGAACCCAGAUUUGUGACUUGAUCCUGACAUGUUAAGGUUCAGUGCACGUUCACCUGUAGAAGCUUUCUCUGCACAACAAGCUGCUGUUCAACUAAACAAUCGACCAUCUGCUGGUAGUAACAAUCAAGGUCAAUACGUACCAAUUUAAUGUUUACAGCCCUUGUCCAUGAAUUACUCAUAAACAGAAGCUAUGAACUAUAGACUCGCUCUGUGUGUGUGUGAAGACGUUUUAGCUGAAAGGCAUGUGUAAAACUUGAUUUAAGAAAUUGGUGUGAGUGUGGGGUGGGGGCGCAAACUUUUUAGCUGAAAGGCUAGUGUGUGUAUGUGUGUAGAAUUUUUAGCUGAAAGGCCUGAGUAAGUCUUGAUUUAUGAAACUAGUGUGUGUGUUUAUUUUUUCCUGAUUUUGAGUAAUUUUGCAAAAGAAGCAGUUAUGAUCAUGAUGAUUUUUUAGAGAAAAUGGAAUUGGAUAUUAUAGUUACAGGCUUGUAUGUUAGCAGAGAAACCUAAAUAUAUGUAAAAUAAAAAUGGAAUAAAAAUUGGAUCCUUUUAUAUACCCGUACUGUUUUUGUCUGCUGCAUGUCUUCUGUUUCUCUUCUUGUUGAUAUUGUGCUGUUUUUUGAACCAAACAGCAAGAAAUCACUGUAAACAUGUAAAAAUGCAGUGUAUGCCAUUGAACAGCAGCAGUAAACACAAAACCAAAAGGCAUAAAAAUCACUGUAAACAAUGCACAUUCUUCCUCCAAAACCAAAAGGCAAGAAUCCCAUUUUGUGUUUGCAUCCACCGUACAUGUCAUCUUUAAACCUUUCUGGUUUGAAUUCGUUAACGUCUUCACCCCAAAGCUGCUUGUCGUGGUGCAUCGGAACCACAUUCGUGAGUAUUCUUAGACCGGAUUCUCUUGAAGGGUAAUAACUUUAUUUAUUCUCUUUUGUAGAUGGAGUAGAACAAGAAAUAGAUGAUGAAGACGAUGAAGAACUAGACCUUACUUGAGAUGAAUUUUGAAUUGUCAUAGAUGAAUGUUGUAGGAAUCUUUUGUUACCAACAUUUUUGAAACUUAUUUACUCUCUUGAAAUGUACUAAACUUAUGCACUCAUAGGGUAGAACAUUUGCUUUAUGGAUAUUAUUUGCUUGAUGGAUAAUUUUAUAUUAUUAAUAGUUUCAUUUAUGAUGUAUUUGAAUUUUGGUGUUAUUAAUUUAUUAUGUGUAUAAAUAUUUAUUUAUAACAAGUGCUAUAUUUUGGUUUUAAAUGAACUGAUACAAUAGCCUAGCAGAACCGCUGCAAUAGGACAUAAAUGGCGUUCUAGUAGACAAUAUAAACCGUUGCAAUAGGUCCUGUAAACGGUUCCAAAAUUAUCUACAAACCGUUCCAAAUACAAAUAUAACUGUUACGAUAGCUUAAAUAAAUCGUUGCUAUAUCCAACGUAACUGUAGCAAUAGCUUACAUAAGUGUUGCUUUAAAUAAUAUGGUAAUAGUUAAGAACCAUUGUUUAAACAAUAUAGUAACGGUUUUAAACCGUUCCAAUUGGAAAAAAUAAUCGUUCCAACAGAGGAAGGAAAAACCGUUGAAAUAGAUGUAUCUAUAGUCAUGGCGAUGCAAACCAUUGCAAGAACCGUUCCAAUAGACCUAUGGGCACGCGGGCUGAUGUAAUGGUCUGUAAACCGUUCCAAUAUCCCUAUGGCAACGGUUUGACAGUCUGUGGGAACGGUUUUUCAAGCGUUACCGUAGACCAAUUUUUCAGUAGUGUUCGUGCAUUAUCACUCACAGAAUACGGCAUGGCAUCACCCUUCGUGCAUUAUCAAUCACUCACAAUACAUUGCACGGCAUCACCCUUCAUCCUUUACACUUGUCAUACCCCCUUUUUAUCAAACUCACCAAACCCUCUUAAAAAGAAUAAAAAGAUUUAGUGAAAAGCUUGAAAAGGGUUUUCAAUUUUGAAAGUGACAAAAUUUGUAUUCAAAAGGAAAAUAACUCAGAAUCACCACCUGACUUUGAUUUCGGUAUGUCAGGUCACCGAUUUUCUUUUAAAAUGACUUUUCCUUUUAAAACAUUUCAGACUCUAAAACUAAGUCCGCACCAGAGAAUCGGGUAAGGGGGUUCAUUUGACUCGGGGAGAAGGUGUUAGGCAUUCCCCAAGUCCCAUAACUAGUACGGUUGCGAACUCGAUCAAGUUGGCUACUAAAAUAUUCAAGUUGAGGUAAAAUCACGAAAAAAUAAAAUAAACACACAUGAGGCUCGAGAUCGUCCCCACCUAAUAAAAGAAAAUAGAAAAUAAUAAUAAAACACUACAAGUUCUACUUUUGACUUCUCAUUACAAAGUUCUACGGGGCAUUCCUCGGAAUAAAAUAUAUACAAAUCUCUCGGGACAUUCCCCGGGUAAAUUUAACUAAGGGAACGACAUCUCGCCUCGAAACUAACAAAAUCCUAAGGCUUGCCUACCCGUGUUAGCAAACCUAAGUAUACUACUGAUUUUUGGCAAGUAAAUAAACGAAAUUAAUAAAAAUCAACACAUGCCUAAAUAUUCGAUUUUAUUUACAAGCUUAUAGUCUAUUAUUUAAUUUAUUUACUAAAUGACGUGCAAAUCAAUACCACUUAAUCACAAUUAUCCCCAACCCCACUUAAUGUCUCCAUUCAACUUAAGCUUUAAUACAAAAUAGUUGAUAAUUAAAGUUCCAAACAAAACAAGACUCAAAGGAAUCUGAAGCCAAAAUUUGCAAGUAGUUCACAAAACAACCAUUGAAGCAUGAACAAGCAUGAACAGUAAACAAACGCAAACAACUCAUGGAGAUAAACCCAAAAAAAACAAAGGAAAGAGAAAGAUUGAACCUUAGAUGAGUCCCUCUUUUAUAUUGAAUAGUAAAACUCCAAAUCAAGUGCACAUCAGUAGUUGCUUCAAGCCUACGAACCUGGACCGGAAACCUCGUACGGACGCCCCCCAAGCUCGAAACCGAGAAUGCCUUCGUGAGUCUAAGGAUAACUGGGACACUCUAGUCCAAACCCAUCCUCUCGUUCUCACUUUGUUAUCAGAUGUUAGGAGACUUAAGCUAUUUGUAAUUCUUAAAAGGAUGAUAUACAUUAUUUUCUUUCUAGAUCAUGACGAAACUUGUUUUUCUAUGAAUUCAAGAAUGAACACUAACAGCAAACUCUCUUGAGUUUUUUUGUUUUUCUUUCGCAGCUUGCGGAUGCUGCUGGUUGACAGCAGAGGAACGGCGGUGGCAGGGUUGCUGGUGGGUUAGUUGGUCGAUGUUUACCUGGUUGUUCUUCGUUGGUUUUUGGAAGGGCCAGAGGUGGAAAGCUGUUGGUUUGUCGCCGGACUUGCUGCUGCGCGGGAGGCUGGUUGACGGAGUGGCGGCGAUGGGUGGUCGUUUGCUUGAUGAGAGGAGGAUAUGGGAGCUGAUCUCUUUUCUGGCGAGUUUGGUCGUGUUCAGGCUUCUGAUGGCUUGGAGUCUUUUUGGGUCUCUCUUACUAUGGUUCAGCUAGCCUCUCGAAGAAGACGAUGGGCGCCCCUGGGGUUCUUAAAGUUCAGCUAGUUUUUUUUUGUGUUCUAGUCUAAGGUUCUAGAAGCAGACCCUAGGGGUGGGGUGUAAGGGUUUAAAGAAGAAAGGGUAUUGGGUUAGGUCUUGCUGGGCUUAAAAAUUGGGCCAAAAGAUUAAAAAUGG